This 279-nucleotide ribosomal RNA is filed under the name uncultured bacterium. RNAcentral describes it as "partial 16S ribosomal RNA". It matches the Rfam family "Bacterial small subunit ribosomal RNA", at positions 506 to 784 of the family's 1533-position model. The record is from RNAcentral.
UGCCAGCCGCCGCGGUAAUACGGAGGGGGUUAGCGUUGUUCGGAAUUACUGGGCGUAAAGCGCACGUAGGCGGAUUAGUAAGUUAGGGGUGAAAGCCCGGGGCUCAACCCCGGAAGUGCAUUGGAAACUGGCGAACUUGAGUACGGGAGAGGAAAGUGGAAUUCCGAGUGUAGGGGUGAAAUCCGUAGAUAUUCGGAGGAACACCAGUGGCGAAGGCGGCUUUCUGGACCAAUACUGACGCUGAGAUGCGAAAGCGUGGGGAGCGAACAGGAUUAGAUA